CAUAUGCAAAUGUAUUUGUGUUUGUUAUCUAGUUUUUAAGGAACAAACAAUUAGCAAUCUUUAUAGAAUGAGUGACAGAAGAGUAAAUAGAGGCUACCAUGUCUCAUCAUUUGCCAUCUCAACAAAUAGGUUUGUUGACUAAAUCCAACUUGGUUUAUGUUCUUCACUAAUUUCUCUGGAUGAACUACAAGUUAGGGACGAUGGAAGAUGCAAAAUUAAGCUACAAACAAACCCCACAUUCAUUUUUUUUCUACUAUUUUUUUUUUCCUUUUGUUUUCUUAACAUCUUCUUAUAUAAUAAAUUUACACAUUCUUCCAGUCUUCUCAACAAGAGAUUCACCCUCCUUUUCUUUUCUUUUCUUUUCAUUUGUUGCUUUAGUCUUCACUUCUAAACCUUGUCAUCUAUGGAUUAUUUAAAUAGGGUACAAUAAUAGUUCCCCAGUUAUUUAUAUAUGAGCAAGUUUGCAUUCCAAGAGUAGAACAUCAACAGCAUAUUUCACUUAAAACUUUGAGGUGUGUUCUUUUGUUCCCUUUUUCAAUUUUUCAUACAAAUUGCUUCUGCACUUUCCUUGUUAAUGUAAUUACUAUAUUAAAUCAGCAUAUCACAGUAGUUUGUGUGUAAUAUAGAACACUUAACCUUCACCCUUCCCAGAUUUUUUUUAACAAAGAAACAUAUAUAAAUUAAAGCUGUUCAAAGAAAUAACUAAAAGAAGAACCACUUAAAUAUCUUUAAUCUAACACUCCUCUAUUCUGUUUUAAUCUCAUAUGUUCUUUCCAGUUUUUUUCUUCUCUAGCUUUCAGAUUUUUCCAUGUAUUCUUUUGGGUUAAUAGUAAAUAAACAGUGGUUGCCAAUAUUCCUUGUUUGAUCAUUAUAUUCAUUUUAACACUGUUUUUUCCAGUUUUUUAAAAAUAUAUUUGAUUUUGUUUCUGUUACUAAACAAGAGCAUUCAUCUUCAACCUUGAUUACUAAUAUUGCAGUAGGUUUUUUUUUAAGAUUUGGUUUACUAUUAGUGAAAACAUUUUACAUCAUCAAUUAACAAAUAAGAAAGCAUAGCAUCACUAUGCUAGGUGUUUCACUUGCAUUAAACUCUUUGUAGUUUCUUAUAUAAGCAGCAUAUCUUAGUGUAAAGAUUCAUUAGUUAGCAGUAAUAUCAAAAUUAAUUUCUAAUACGCACACAUACAUAUUCAUCCUUCUUUAAUUAACUAAAUAUCAUAAAUGCAUCUUCAUCUUUUCAAGUAGGGCAGAAUCACUGUUCAUCUUCCACCUUUUGGCUGUUGGCUUAGUGUCUAGUUGUUUUCUUGGUUUAAAAUCAUCUUAUUCAGUUUAGCUUUCACUCAUUAGUUACAUUCCUCUUAAACCUUGAUUACUACAGUUGCAAUAAAUAGCAGUUUUAAAAUUUGAUUUGCUGCCAGUAUGGUCAGAUCAAUGUAUUAAAUAGAGCUUUUCACUUCCUUUAAACUUUUAAUAAUUUCUAAGUAGAUGAUGCAACAUAGUUCAUUCAAUAAGUUAACUUCUUAAAUGAAUUUUAAUAUAUUAAACUAUAUCUAUUCUUGAUCCUUAUACACUAGAAUUAUCAAAUGAGCUUUUACAGCUAUGACUUGUAUAUCAAAACUAGAUUCUAAUAUACAAUAGUGAAGGUAGUUUGGUAGAAGAAUGCUGCUACUAAAUUUCACAAUUCAUAUUCCCCCUGUUAACAUGAUAAUGGAUAGUGCCUAACACAUUCAAUUGUUCAAUUGUUGUUGUUGUUGCAGCUUCAUGUAUCACAAACAAUUGUGAUCAACAUAACUCAUAUUACUUGUUUAAAAUUUUCUGGGUGGUGAAAAGGUAGAAGGGAAAAUGGGGAAGGAUGGAUCACCAAAACAUCAUAGUCCGUUUGAUUCAAAGAGAAACCGUCUGACAUGGAUUUUAGGGGUUAGUGGGCUAUGCAUUUUAUCAUACAUAAUGGGUGCAUGGAGGAACACUCCAUCACCCAAUAGCCAAUCUGAGAUCUACUCCAAAGUAGACUGUAAUGUUGCGUCAAAUUCACCAGGCAUGGCAUCUUCAGCAGUUCAAUCAUCAACAAACUUAGACUUUGCAAGUCACCAUCAAAUUGAUAUCAAUAAUUCUGGAGGGACACAAGAGUUUCCACCAUGUAACAUAUCCCUCAGUGAAUACACUCCAUGCCAAGAUCGAGAUAGGGGUCGCAGAUAUGACCGUAACAUGUUGAAGUAUAGGGAGAGGCAUUGCCCCAGCAAGGAGGAACAACUAUAUUGCCUUAUACCUGCUCCACCAAAAUAUAAGCCACCUUUCAAAUGGCCUCAAAGCAGAGACUAUGCUUGGUAUAACAAUAUUCCACACAAAGAGCUUAGCAUUGAGAAAGCCAUUCAAAACUGGAUUCAAGUUGAAGGUGACAGAUUCAGAUUCCCUGGAGGAGGUACCAUGUUUCCACGUGGAGCUGAUGCAUACAUUGAUGACAUCAAUGAGCUCAUUCCCCUCACUACUGGUACUAUCAGAACUGCAAUUGAUACUGGGUGUGGUGUAAGUUGCUCUAUCUUAAUCCCAAACCUCACCACUAAAACAAAUCUAUCUUCACUUAUGUUUAUGGCUCUAUUUAUUUCUUUAGUCCAAUUUCUAUUUAAGGUGACUAAUAGAUAAAGUUCACAAAUUUAUUAUCAUCAUAUCAAUAUCUGAUUCGAUUAUACUGUAAAAAUCUGUACUCUCUGUAUGCUAUUUACUUUUGUUUAUUGAAGUGUAUUUGUUGUAACCUAGUGUUUGCAUCUUUGGGUAGUUGAUUUUAAUAGAUGUUUACCAAAUUCAACUUAAACCUUAGGAUGUGUUGCUUGUACUUAAUUCAUUCUUUCACAUGUAAUUGUAAAGGUUGCAAGUUGGGGUGCUUACCUUUUGAAAAGGGACAUCAUAGCUAUGUCCUUUGCACCAAGAGAUACACAUGAAGCUCAGGUCCAGUUUGCAUUGGAAAGAGGAGUUCCAGCAAUGAUAGGUGUCAUGGCUUCACAGAGAACUCCUUACCCAGCAAGGGCGUUUGAUAUGGCUCAUUGUUCUCG
RNAcentral lists this long non-coding RNA (3041 nucleotides) under Phaseolus vulgaris (common bean). Its description in RNAcentral is "long non-coding RNA (PVUL_LNC004742)". Lineage: Eukaryota; Viridiplantae; Streptophyta; Magnoliopsida; Fabales; Fabaceae. The record is from RNAcentral.